AGAGUUUGAUCCUGGCUCAGAUUGAACGCUGGCGGCAUGCCUUACACAUGCAAGUCGAACGGCAGCACGGGUGCUUGCACCUGGUGGCGAGUGGCGAACGGGUGAGUAAUAUAUCGGAACGUACCUUAUCGUGGGGGAUAACGCAGCGAAAGCUGCGCUAAUACCGCAUACGCCCUGAGGGGGAAAGCGGGGGACCGUAAGGCCUCGCGCGAUUAGAGCGGCCGAUAUCUGAUUAGCUUGUUGGUGGGGUAAAAGCCCACCAAGGCGACGAUCAGUAGCUGGUCUGAGAGGACGAUCAGCCACACUGGGACUGAGACACGGCCCAGACUCCUACGGGAGGCAGCAGUGGGGAAUUUUGGACAAUGGGGGCAACCCUGAUCCAGCAAUGCCGCGUGAGUGAAGAAGGCCUUCGGGUUGUAAAGCUCUUUUGUCAGGGAAGAAACAGCAGCUCUAACACAGUCUGCGAAUGACGGUACCUGAAGAAUAAGCACCGGCUAACUACGUGCCAGCAGCCGCGGAAAUACGUAGGGUGCAAGCGUUAAUCGGAAUUACUGAGCGUAAAGCGUGCGCAGGCGGUUAUACAAGACAGGCGUGAA
This 596-nucleotide ribosomal RNA is filed under the name uncultured freshwater bacterium. RNAcentral's name for it is "bacterial SSU rRNA". It matches the Rfam family "Bacterial small subunit ribosomal RNA", at positions 8 to 598 of the family's 1533-position model. The record is from RNAcentral.